UUUUUUUUUUUUUUUUUUUUUUUUGGCUUUUUAGGCCCACACUGGUGGUAUAUGGAAGUUCCCAGGAUUGGGGUUGAAUUGGAGCUGCAGCUGUGGGCCUACACCACAGCCAUAGCAGCGAGGGAUCCGAGCCGCAUCUGCGAUGUACACCGUAGGUCAUGGCAAUGCCAGAUCCGUAACCUACUGAACGAUGCCAGGAAUUGAACCUGCAUCCUCAUGGAUACUAGUUGGGUUUGACAAUAACAUUAAUUGUAAUAAAAAGCAGUAGAGUUGCAUUGGCCUCAGGAUCAAAAUAGUAGUUGUCACCAGUCAUUUUCUUUACUGAGUAAGGUAGAUAAGGAAAGAGUUUGUGCUUCUGUAAUCAUUGUCUUUCUGUAGAGUUAUCAGACUAUUGUAUAUACAGGAGGCUUUACUAACCAACAGGUACUGCAGCUCUCCUUUUUUAAGUGUAAGGCAAAUAAUGGCCUUCCUUCCCACUGAGCCCAGGCUGAGCUUCAUGAGCCCUCAUCACUAGCUCACAAGAUAAAUCACUGCUAGUUUGAAAAUAAGCCAAUGAUUUUAGGGGAAAAAUACUAAAAAGCAGAUGGCUAUAAAUAAAACAGAAGGGUAUCAAGGAGUCUAUUCCCAGCCAAUUCUCUUCUGUCCGUAAAUGCCGGAAAAGUGCUGUGUUAGCACCAUAUGUUACUACAUUUGUUACCUGAAUCUUGCUCAUUAGUUAUUGGAAGGGAACAAAUGAAACUUUGAAAAUAAAGACUUACCUUGUUUUUCUAAGAUAAAAUAAAGCAUGUUAAUCUGAAGUUUUAGUUUCCUAAUCUGGGCAUCUCUGAGAAAAUCAUAAAUUUUGUUACAUUUUGGUUCAAAUCCUUCAAAGAUCUUACCACUGAUCUUUAUAAAUAGGACCUUCAUGAAUUUUCUCUUGAUAAUCUCAUUACAUUCCUCUGUUGCACUUUACAUUUCAGUGAUGGUUACCUGUUCUAGCCCUUCUCUACUAGACUGUGAACUCUAUGAGGAAAAGUCUCAGAACCUUGCACAAUACCUAGCAUGCAGUAGGCCUUCAGUAAAUGUUUAAAUUAAUUGAACUCUAAUUUGGUGACUCUGGGCAAAAUGCUUUGGCAGUGAGUAAAUUUUUUCCACUUUUAGUUUAUUCUAGAAUAGAGCAGUGAAGACUAGAGCUAAGAAGCAAGUUAGAAAACCAGAAAAUGCAGAUUUUGUGCCAACUCUGAAUCAUUGAGUUCAGUUCAACAUGCAUUUAUUGAAUAAUCAACAUUUCCUGCUGCUCAUGAAGUUUGGUAACUUGUAUGGUUAGCAGAGCCACGUUGUUUAAUAUGUAUAGAAUGAAGAGAGGAAUAUAAGGGAUGUAAGAAAUGCUUCAACUGUUGUGCUGAAGUUUGUGUUUCUUGUUUUUUUUAAUUUGGACUCCAGAGACAACUUGUAAAGACAAGAGCAUGAGUACUUCAAAUUUUCUUUCGAAAACUGAGUCAUAGAUGUUGCAUUUCAAGCCAAGUAAAGGUUUGAUUAUUUUACACUUCAUGGCUUUUUAAAAUUCCAGUUGCUAUAACAACUUUGAUAUUUCUUUAUUAUUUUUAGCACUUCAGUUGCCAUAACAAUAAGAUAUCUUAAAAAAUAGCAAUUUUCUUUUAUAAGGGAAAAAUCUCUUUCAAUUAAAAAUGAAUUUAAUCAACAUUUCUUUCCUAUAAUGUGAACCCAUUAUUUAAGAUGUAAUUGUGCUGUUCUGUUUUCAUAUAAUUUUAACAGACUUUCCCAGAAAAUAUUUUAAGGUUCAACUUUUUCCUCUGUUUUUUUAUUGUACAAAAAUUAAAGAGAGGUGGCUGUAAUGGACCCAUUCUUAGAUAUUAGUAUUUGAUGGGAUUUCAUUGAUCUAAAAAUCUCAUUAAACAAUUUAAUUUCCAGAUUUGUUAUUUAAAGUAAAAGAAGAACAUGAUUGAUGGGUAGCUCUUACAUCAACCAUUUAAGAAAGCUUAGGUUUUCCUUCUCUCACUCACUAUCUCUCUCUUUUUUCUAUGGCUGCACCUAUGGCACAUGGAAGUUCUCUGGCCAUGGUUCGAAUUGGAGUUGCACCUGAGGCCUACGCCACAGCCAUGGCAACAUGAAAUUCAAGCCACAUCUGCAGGCUACACCACGACUUGUGGCAACGCCAGAUCCUUAACCUACUGAGUGAGGCCAGGCAUCAAACCCACAUCCUCAUGGACACUCUGUCAGUUCUUAACCCACUGAGCCACAGUGGGAAUUCCUCCGUUUUUCUUAAGUUAUUUUGAAGUGUAUUUAUGUCUAUUAUCAUAUUAAAAUAGUUACCGCCUCACUUACCUAGCAGUAACUGACAGCUCAGACCUGAGCUAUGGCACUUUACUUAUAGAGCAAUACUUCUGUUUACUCUUUGAUGAAAAAUUCUUAUAAACUUGGUUUCUGCUAUUUAAUCCUCUAAAAAAAAUUAAAGAUAGCAAAUUAGAAGAGGAAGGAAGAGUACUGCUCUAUUUAUAUAGUGUCAAAAAUAUAAGGAGCUGUAUAUUCUUUUCUGUGCAAAUGGAGUCAGAAAAUACAGGGAGCUAUAUGUUCUUUUCUAGGUACCUAGUUACUUGUAGAAAUUUUUAACAAGCCUCUUUAAAAAUAUAUGUAUAUUGAAUCAAACAGCUACAAAGGUAUGAUUUUACUAUAAGAUAGUUUUCUAAUUGGCAUUAACAGGGAUGAUCCCAGCCUACCAGACAAACAUUGCUAUGUUCAGAAUUCUCAAUUUAAGACACAGAGGAGCGGAUGAUACAUCUUAUAAAGAUUUAAAUGUAAAAUUGAAUAAAGUAAAACAAAAUUUUUAAAAAUUUAAAAAAGGGAAACCUUCAGUUAUUGGGAUUUGCAGGAUCUAUGUAGCAGAUUUUUAUGGACCAAGGUUUGGUAAUUUUUAUAUUACUGUGUGGCUAAUCACAUAAAUUUCCCAAGAUGCUUGUUUGGGUUUACAUAAUGUAUUUCUUUUAAGAAUGUAUUUUUUAAAGGGAAUGUUGAGGGAGAUGGCAACUCAAGAGAAAAGUGAAGGUAUUGUUUUAAAUUUCCUAAUCCCAACAAAUUACUCGUAAGUAUGGUUUUUAAGGAGAAAUGAUUAAACAAAAAGCCUGUUGAUAUUAAAGAAUAUGUUUACUAUCAGUGAGUUUUGAAUAGCUGCUAUAUGCUUUUCCUGGUUUGUAUUUAGUUUCUAAUUCAUACCAACUUUAAAAGUAUUAUUUUACCUCAUUUUUGCAGAAGGAAACUGAGACAUUUGGAGAGAAUCAUGUACUCAAGGCCUCAUAGUUAAUGACUGCUGCAGCCAGUGCUAACGCAAAUCUGGCUCAUUCUAAAGCUUUAUUUUCUUCUCUAGGUCAUGGUCUUUCCUAGACUUCAAACUUAAUAAAUAUGCAUUAAAGGUAAUAAUGUGACCUGGAGAAAAUGGAAAGAUCAUACUGUUUCUGGCUUUAUUUUAUUGCUUUAUGUACUGUUUUUGCCCAAUUAAUUUUAUUUUAAUUAAUAUUUUAUAUUUGUGAGUUUCCCCUACUGAGUUAAAAAUGCACAUAAAUUAGUAUUUUCUUUGUCCAUUUUCCUUUGUGAUUGACUAAAAAUAAUGGAUUCUCUCAAAGGUUUUACUUUCUCAGCCAGUUGUCGUAGAUCCUAGCUAGCUAGGGCAGUAUCAGAGUGUUGUGUAACUGACAUUUAAUAAGAAGCCUUUUCUCACUCAGUGUCUCACUUGCAUCUGGGCUGUUGUGUCUGUGAGUACAAACACUGAGCCAUGAGUCAGGUAUAAUGAUUGAGAGAGUGUGAAAGUAGACACGGGCUAAAUGUACUUAUUCUGUCCAGCAGUAUCUGUUCUUUUAGACAUUUCAGUAGCCCUCAUUCUUGAUGGGAUUUUGCUUAGGAGGAUUCUGGUGUUUUUCUUUUUAAACAUCAAUAUAUAUGAUUUGCUGGCAGUUCCUUAAAAUUCACGCCAGUGUUUUAACUCUCUAAUUUGAUGGUUUUGUACUGAAAUGAGGGCACUUGGAAUAAGCAAAUGUAAUUAUCUUUAUCAUUCUCCUAGGCUAUAGCUUAUAUAUAGAUGAAAUGCACAGAUCUUAAGUGUUACAUUUUGGUAUGUUUAACAUAUAUGCAUGCAUAUAACCCACAGUUAUUAAAAUACAAAAUGUUUUCAUCAUCCCUGAAGGUUUCCUUAUACCUCUUGCCAGUAAACACACAUACACACCUCUGAGGCAACUAUGUUUUGAUUUCUUUCAUCAAAACUUAGUUGUAUCUGUUCCAGAACUUCAUUGAAUGGACAUAUCACAAUUUGUUUAUC
RNAcentral lists this long non-coding RNA (4306 nucleotides) under Sus scrofa (pig). Its description in RNAcentral is "lncRNA (ENSSSCG00040059564.1)". Lineage: Eukaryota; Metazoa; Chordata; Mammalia; Artiodactyla; Suidae. The record is from RNAcentral.